Molecule: ribosomal RNA, 1489 nt
Filed under: uncultured bacterium
Lineage: Bacteria
Description: bacterial SSU rRNA
Rfam family: Bacterial small subunit ribosomal RNA
Source: RNAcentral
AGAGUUUGAUCAUGGCUCAGGAUGAACGCUAGCGAUAGGCUUAACACAUGCAAGUCGAGGGGCAGCACGGAAUAGCAAUAUUUUGGUGGCGACCGGCGCACGGAUGAGUAACACGUAUGCAACCUACCCAUGACAGUGGAAUAACCCGUCGAAAGGCGGACUAAUACCGCAUAAUAAAGAGUGCUCGCAUGGGUACUUUUUCAAAGAUUUAUCGGUCAUGGAUGGGCAUGCGUUCCAUUAGGUAGUUGGCGGGGCAACGGCCCACCAAGCCUGCGAUGGAUAGGGGUUCUGAGAGGAAGGUCCCCCACACUGGUACUGAGACACGGACCAGACUCCUACGGGAGGCAGCAGUGAGGAAUAUUGGUCAAUGGGCGAGAGCCUGAACCAGCCAAAUCGCGUGAAGGAUGAAGGUAUUAUGUAUUGUAAACUUCUUUUACAGGGGAAUAAAGUGCGGGACGUGUCCCGUUUUGUAUGUACCCUGAGAAUAAGGAUCGGCUAACUCCGUGCCAGCAGCCGCGGUAAUACGGAGGAUCCAAGCGUUAUCCGGAUUUAUUGGGUUUAAAGGGUGCGUAGGCGGGGAAUCAAGUCAGCGGUGAAAGUUUGCGGCUCAACCGUAAAAUUGCCGUUGAAACUGGUUCUCUUGAGUGUAGAUGAGGUGGGUGGAAUUCGUGGUGUAGCGGUGAAAUGCUUAGAUAUCACGAAGUACUCAAUUGCGUAGGCAGCUCACUGGGCUACAACUGACGCUGAGGCACGAAGGUGCGGGGAUCAAACAGGAUUAGAUACCCUGGUAGUCCGCACAGUAAACGAUGAAUACUAGCUGUUGGCGAUACACUGCCAGUGGCACAGCGAAAGCGUUAAGUAUUCCACCUGGGGAGUACGUUCGCAAGAAUGAAACUCAAAGGAAUUGACGGGGGCCCGCACAAGCGGAGGAACAUGUGGUUUAAUUCGAUGAUACGCGAGGAACCUUACCCGGGCUUGAAUUGCAUCUGAAUACAGCGGAAACGUUGUAGCUAGCAAUAGCAGAUGUGAAGGUGCUGCAUGGUUGUCGUCAGCUCGUGCCGUGAGGUGUCGGCUUAAGUGCCAUAACGAGCGCAACCCUCAUCAUUAGUUACUAACAGGUCAUGCUGAGGACUCUAAUGAGACUGCCGGCGUAAGCUGUGAGGAAGGUGGGGAUGACGUCAAAUCAGCACGGCCCUUACGUCCGGGGCGACACACGUGUUACAAUGGGGGGGACAGCAGGCAGCGAAGUGGUGACACCGAGCGAAUCCUCAAACCCUCUCUCAGUUCGGAUCGAAGUCUGCAACCCGACUUCGUGAAGCUGGAUUCGCUAGUAAUCGCGCAUCAGCCAUGGCGCGGUGAAUACGUUCCCGGGCCUUGUACACACCGCCCGUCAAGCCAUGGGAGUUGGGGGUGCCUGAAGUGCGUGACCGCAAGGAGCGUCCUAGGGCAAAACCGAUGACUGGGGCUAAGUCGUAACAAGGUAUCCGUA